This 125-nucleotide ribosomal RNA is filed under the name Penicillium roqueforti. Its description in RNAcentral is "partial 28S ribosomal RNA". It matches the Rfam family "Eukaryotic large subunit ribosomal RNA", at positions 1 to 122 of the family's 3401-position model. The record is from RNAcentral. Lineage: Eukaryota; Fungi; Ascomycota; Eurotiomycetes; Eurotiales; Aspergillaceae.
GGUUGACCUCGGAUCAGGUAGGGAUACCCGCUGAACUUAAGCAUAUCAAUAAGCGGAGGAAAAGAAACCAACAGGGAUUGCCCCAGUAACGGCGAGUGAAGCGGCAAGAGCUCAAAUUUGAAAGC